CUUUCCACGACCUCGGCGCGACGCACGCGGGAUCCAGUGGAGACUGCUUUCCCAUACGCCGCCAUCCAGGGCGGGGAAGGGAGCGGACCCUCCCGGCUCCAGGUGCCUGGGCCCCCGGCGGCCUGCGGAGGCCUCGCCCCACGCCACCCGCCCACUGGCCUCGUCUUCGCGCGGGGAGAAAAGCAGCCUGAUUCGGAGGAACGGAUUGCUUGGGGCGGCUCCCAGCUCGAGUUGUGGGCCCCGCCGCGGGUGCCCUUCGGAAACGCGCUGACACCAGGCGAAGCCGCCUCUGCCCGGACGCAGCCCGACACUUGGCCCGCGGGGUUCCCUGGGACGCCUGAGAGUAAUGGGCGCGAGGGGAAAAGCCGAACGGCCUCCCUGUACCCGGCGCAGUCGGUGCCCCCUAGCUGGGUUCGCCGCGGCGGCGCUGCGAGCCCCCGACACGGAGGACUUUUGGUCCAACAGUCCGACGGGGCCUGGUGCGCCGUUCCCUCCGCCCUCUCCCCGCUCCCCGGCCCGCGCGUCUUGGAGGGUGGGUGAACUGUCGGAAGCACUCUAUGCCUGGCCAACCCAAACCAGGAACCUCCGCACCAAACAGCCCACGUUGCUGCUGCUCUGGGGUUUUAACGGCCAAGGGAGACUGGAGAAGGGGUGUUCUGCCUUCCCAUUCUCUUAGGCCCGUCCACUCCCCAUCCCCACAGUUUGGAAGUGGCCUUUUCUGAGGACUCCAGCGCAAAGCAUGUUUCUCCUUUUGAGCUGCGGAAGCCUUGCUUGUUCCCGCCAUUGGGAGGGCAUUCCAUCAUCUGCAGCUGCGUUCCUCGGUGGGCCUUGUCCCUUAGCGUCCACCUAGGGGACAUUCUAAGCUUCUUGAGACCUGCUUGUCCACCCCAACAUGUCUCAGCAUAUGGCUGUGCCCUAAGGGGUCUUUGAGGGCAUUUUAGGAGGUGAGCGGCGCCCCUACCUAGGCUCCGCGGGGCCGAUUCGGUUUGCCCUUUGCUGGCAUGUCAGUGAAUUAACUGCUGUCCUUGGGACGACCUGCCCUAUGAUUUGGCCUCUGGAGCAUCCCGGGUGUGUAUUUCAGAACUCCUCCCAUCUUAUCCACCUGCUGAAGGCCUGGCCCCCUGAUAUGGUUUGGCUCUGUUUCCCCACCCAAAUCUCACCUUGAAUUUUAAUAAUCCCCACGUGUCAUGGGCGGGACCAGGCGGAGGUAAUUGAAUCAUGGAGGUGGUUUCCUGAACGCUGCUCUCGUGACAGUGAGUUCACAAGAUCUUUUUUUUUUUUUUUUUUUUUUAACGGAGUAUCACUCUGUCACUUAGGCUGGAGUGCAGUGGCGCGAUCUCGGUUCACUGCAACCUCUGCCUCCCGGGUUCAAGCGAUUCUCCUGCCUCAGCCUCCCAAGUAGCUGGGAUUACAGGUGCGCGCCAUCACGCCCGGCUAAUGUGUAUUUUUAGUAGAGAAAGGGUUUCACCAUGUUGGUUAGGCUGGUCUCGAACUCCUGACGUUGUGAUCUGCCUGCCUCGGCCUCCCAAAGUGCUGGAAUUACACGCGUGAGCCACUGUGCCCAGCCGAUCUGAUGCUUUUAUAAAGGGCUUCCCCCCGUCCCCCUUCCUCUCUCUCACCACCCUGUGAGAAAGGUGCCUUUCUUCCCCCUUCACGUGAACUGCCUCCAUGAUUGUAAGCUUCCUGAGGCCUCCCCAGCUAUAAGGAACUGUGAGCCAAUUAAACUGCUUUAUAAAUUAA
This 1740-nucleotide long non-coding RNA is filed under the name Pan troglodytes (chimpanzee). Its description in RNAcentral is "lincRNA". Lineage: Eukaryota; Metazoa; Chordata; Mammalia; Primates; Hominidae. The record is from RNAcentral.